AUACGGAGGGUGCAAGCGUUAAUCGGAAUCACUGGGCGUAAAGCGCACGUAGGCGGUGCCGUAAGUCGGAUGUGAAAGCCCUCGGCUCAACCGGGGAACUGCAUUCGAUACUGCGGUGCUUGAGUGUCGGAGAGGGUGGCGGAAUUCCAGGUGUAGGAGUGAAAUCCGUAGAUAUCUGGAGGAACACCAGUGGCGAAGGCGGCCACCUGGCCGACAACUGACGCUGAGGUGCGAAAGCGUGGGGAUC
Molecule: ribosomal RNA, 247 nt
Filed under: uncultured bacterium
Lineage: Bacteria
Description: partial 16S ribosomal RNA
Rfam family: Bacterial small subunit ribosomal RNA
Source: RNAcentral